RNAcentral lists this ribosomal RNA (263 nucleotides) under uncultured bacterium. Its description in RNAcentral is "partial 16S ribosomal RNA". It matches the Rfam family "Bacterial small subunit ribosomal RNA", at positions 793 to 1055 of the family's 1533-position model. The record is from RNAcentral.
GUCCACGCCGUAAACGAUGGGUACUAGGCGUCGGGGGAGCGACCCUCCCGGUGCCGUCGCUAACGCAGUAAGUACCCCGCCUGGGGAGUACGGUCGCAAGACUGAAACUCAAAGGAAUUGACGGGGCCCGCACAAGCGGUGGAGCAUGUGGUUUAAUUCGAAGCAACGCGAAGAACCUUACCUGGGCUUGACAUGCUGGUGAAAGCCGGUGGAAACAUCGGCCCCUCUUCGGAGCGCCAGCACAGGUGCUGCAUGGCUGUCGU